This 410-nucleotide ribosomal RNA is filed under the name bacterium enrichment culture clone ALO1_GLFRUDD03HIWMR. RNAcentral's name for it is "bacterial SSU rRNA". It matches the Rfam family "Bacterial small subunit ribosomal RNA", at positions 9 to 420 of the family's 1533-position model. The record is from RNAcentral.
GAGUUUGAUCUUGGCUCAGAUUGAACGCUGGCGGCAUGCCUUACACAUGCAAGUCGAACGGCAGCACGGGAGCUUGCUCCUGGUGGCGAGUGGCGAACGGGUGAGUAAUGCAUCGGAACGUAUCCUGAAGUGGGGGAUAACGUAGCGAAAGUUACGCUAAUACCGCAUAUUCUGUGAGCAGGAAAGCGGGGGACCUUCGGGCCUCGCGCUCUUGGAGCGGCCGAUGUCGGAUUAGCUAGUUGGUGAGGUAAAGGCUCACCAAGGCGACGAUCCGUAGCAGGUCUGAGAGGAUGAUCUGCCACACUGGAACUGAGACACGGUCCAGACUCCUACGGGAGGCAGCAGUGGGAAUUUUGGACAAUGGGGGCAACCCUGAUCCAGCCAUGCCGCGUGAGUGAAGAAGGCCUCGG